RNAcentral lists this ribosomal RNA (216 nucleotides) under uncultured bacterium. RNAcentral describes it as "partial 16S ribosomal RNA". It matches the Rfam family "Bacterial small subunit ribosomal RNA", at positions 580 to 793 of the family's 1533-position model. The record is from RNAcentral.
CUUUUAAGUCUAAUGUGAAAGCCUUCGGCUCAACCCGAAGAAGUGCAUUGGAAACUGGGAGACUUGAGUGCAGAAGAGGACAGUGGAACUCCAUGUGUAGCGGUGAAAUAGCGUAGAUAUAUGGAAGAACACCAGUGGCGAAGGCGGCUGUCUGGUCUGUAACUGACGCUGAGGCUCGAAAGCAUGGGUAGCGAACAGGAUUAGAUACCCUGGUAG